UGCAGUCGAGCGGUAGGCCUUUCGGGGUACCGAGCGGCGAACGGGUGAGUAACACGUGGGUGAUCUGCCCUGCACUUCGGGAUAAGCCUGGGAAACUGGGUCUAAUACCGGAUAUGACCUCCUGUUGCAUGACUUGGGGUGGAAAGAUUUAUCGGUGCACGAUGGGCCCGCGGCCUAUCAGCUUGUUGGUGGGGUAAUGGCCUACCAAGGCGACGACGGGUAGCCGACCUGAGAGGGUGACCGGCCACACUGGGACUGAGACACGGCCCAGACUCCUACGGGAGGCAGCAGUGGGGAAUAUUGCACAAUGGGCGAAAGCCUGAUGCAGCGACGCCGCGUGAGGGAUGACGGCCUUCGGGUUGUAAACCUCUUUCAGCAGGGACGAAGCGCAAGUGACGGUACCUGCAGAAGAAGCACCGGCUAACUACUUGCCAGCAGCCGCGGUAAUACGUAGGGUGCAAGCGUUGUCCGGAAUUACUGGGCGUAAAGAGUUCGUAGGCGGUUUGUCGCGUCGUUUGUGAAAACCAGCAGCUCAACUGCUGGCUUGCAGGCGAUACGGGCAGACUUGAGUACUGCAAGGGAGACUGGAAUUCCUGGUGUAUCGGUGAAAUGCACAAAUAUCAAGAGGAACACCGGUGGCGAAGGCGGGUCUCUGGGCAGUAACUGACGCUGAGGAACGAAAGCGUGCUGAGCGAACAGGAUUAGAUACCCUGGUAGUCCACGCCGUAAACGGUGGGCGCUAGGUGUGGGUUCCUUCCACGGAAUCCGUGCCGUAGCUAACGCAUUAAGCGCCCCGCCUGUGGAGUACGGCCGCAAGGCUAAAACUCACAGGAAUUGACGGGGGCCCGCACAAGCGACGGAGCAUGUGGAUUAAUUCGAUGCAACGCGAAGAACCUUACCUGGGUUUGACAUAUACCGGAAAGCUGCACAGAUGUGGCCCCCCUUGU
This 947-nucleotide ribosomal RNA is filed under the name uncultured Rhodococcus sp. Its description in RNAcentral is "bacterial SSU rRNA". It matches the Rfam family "Bacterial small subunit ribosomal RNA", at positions 56 to 1021 of the family's 1533-position model. Lineage: Bacteria; Bacillati; Actinomycetota; Actinomycetes; Mycobacteriales; Nocardiaceae. The record is from RNAcentral.